This 376-nucleotide unclassified non-coding RNA is filed under the name uncultured Thermoactinomycetaceae bacterium. RNAcentral's name for it is "contains 16S-23S intergenic spacer region". Lineage: Bacteria; Bacillati; Bacillota; Bacilli; Caryophanales; Thermoactinomycetaceae. The record is from RNAcentral.
UCCGGCUUUCACCGGCUGUCUCUUUAGAGUGCCCAGCCUAGCUGCUGGCAACUAAAGAUAAGGGUUGCGCUCGUUGCGGGACUGAACCCAACAUCUCACGACACGAGCUGACGACAACCAUGCACCACCUGUCACCGCUGCCCCGAAGGGAAGGCGCAUCUCUGCGCCGGUCAGCGGGAUGUCAAGCCUUGGUAAGGUUCUUCGCGUUGCUUCGAAUUAAACCACAUGCUCCACCGCUUGUGCGGGCCCCCGUCAAUUCCUUUGAGUUUCAGCCUUGCGGCCGUACUCCCCAGGCGGAGUGCUUAAUGGGUUACCUUCGGCACUGAGGACGGGAAGUCCCCAACACCUAGCACUCAUCGUUUACGGCGUGGACUAC